This 44-nucleotide transfer RNA is filed under the name Haptolina brevifila. RNAcentral describes it as "partial Selenocysteine transfer RNA". Lineage: Eukaryota; Haptophyta; Prymnesiales; Prymnesiaceae. The record is from RNAcentral.
UGUCGCUGGUGGAGCCUGCGGACUUCGAAGCCGCAGCAGGCCAC